This 566-nucleotide ribosomal RNA is filed under the name uncultured Anaerolineaceae bacterium. Its description in RNAcentral is "bacterial SSU rRNA". It matches the Rfam family "Bacterial small subunit ribosomal RNA", at positions 335 to 916 of the family's 1533-position model. The record is from RNAcentral. Lineage: Bacteria; Bacillati; Chloroflexota; Anaerolineae; Anaerolineales; Anaerolineaceae.
ACUCCUACGGGAGGCAGCAGUGGGGAAUUUUUCGCAAUGGGCGAAAGCCUGACCCAGCAACGCCGCGUGCACGAUGAAGGUCUUCGGAUCGUAAAGUGCUUUUCUGAGAGAUGAGAAAGGACAGUAUCUCAGGAAUAAGUCUCGGCUAACUACGUGCCAGCAGCCGCGGUAAAACGUAGGAGGCAAGCGUUAUCCGGAUUUACUGGGCGUAAAGCGUGUGCAGGUGGUUUGGUAAGUUGGAUGUGAAAGCUCCUGGCUCAACUGGGAGAGGUCGUUCMAUACUACCAGACUUGAGAGCAGUAGAGGGAGGUGGAAUUCCCGGUGUAGUGGUGAAAUGCGUAGAUAUCGGGAGGAACACCAGUGGCGAAAGCGGCCUCCUGGACUGUUUCUGACACUCAGACACGAAAGCUAGGGUAGCAAACGGGAUUAGAGACCCCGGUAGUCCUAGCUGUAAACGAUGUGAACUUGGCGUCGGCGGGUUCAAAGCCGUCGGUGCCGAAGCUAACGCGAUAAGUUCACCGCCUGGGGACUACGGCCGCAAGGUUAAAACUCAAAUGAAUUGACGG